GAGGCAAAGUCGACAAAUGUUGGUGAUGCCUAUAAAAAUGUUAUGAGGAAGGUCCCACAGCCAGUGGUGGUUGUAACGACGUCUGGACAUGAUAUCUUAAACAACAGCUGGUUGAAAAGAGGAGUAACCUGUACAUCCUUCAGCAGCGUUUCCUUAGACCCAGCAGUUGUCUCCUUCUGUUUGAAUCAUUCAAGCCGCAUGCAUGACCUUUUGCUUAGGACUCAGCAGUUUGCUGUCCAUGUCCUUGCCAGGGACCAGGU
Molecule: long non-coding RNA, 260 nt
Organism: Ylistrum balloti
Lineage: Eukaryota; Metazoa; Mollusca; Bivalvia; Pectinida; Pectinidae
Exons: 3
Source: RefSeq, a predicted model, not a curated record